RNAcentral lists this transfer RNA (77 nucleotides) under Christensenellaceae bacterium. RNAcentral describes it as "tRNA-Met". It matches the Rfam family "tRNA". From Rfam's summary of the family: Transfer RNA (tRNA) molecules are approximately 80 nucleotides in length. Lineage: Bacteria; Bacillati; Bacillota; Clostridia; Christensenellales; Christensenellaceae. The record is from RNAcentral.
GGUGACGUAGCUCAGUUGGUUAGAGCAUCGGAUUCAUACCCCGAAGGUCGGUGGUUCAACUCCACUCGUCACUACCA